This is a long non-coding RNA of Meriones unguiculatus (Mongolian gerbil), 1043 nucleotides long. RefSeq lists it as uncharacterized. The record is from RefSeq and is a predicted model, not a curated record. Lineage: Eukaryota; Metazoa; Chordata; Mammalia; Rodentia; Muridae. The transcript is spliced from 3 exons.
UCCUGAAGAGCAAAAUGGGUGGGCUCGGCCUUACCCGCUCAGCAGGCUUUGAGCAGUGAACCUGAAAGUGUCCACGAGGAUCUGGUCCCUUGGCAGCUGAGCCUCCCAGACGCUGGGGUAGGGGAAUGGGCGGAGUGCUGCGCCGGGGCAGAGGAGACUCAUGGGUGCUCGUUUUCAGUUGCCCCGGGUUGGAACCCAGAUGCAAAACAAGCAACACGACCACACCUUCCCGCUCCUCGGCUGUGUAAGAGCCGAGGUUCAAAUCUCUCUGGAUCUAAAAUGACGGAAUCAUGAUCACCAUCAACACUGUCUGACGCUGUUUCUUCAGAAAGGGGACCUUUCAAGAAUCCUUCUGCACCUUCAGGGGAUUAGCAACAAAAAACAGAUUCUCACCCUGGAACUAGCUGGCCUGGAACUGGCUGCCCUCCAUUCACCUGCCCCUACCUUCUGAGUGCUGGGAUUAAAGGCAUAUGUGACCACUUUUGUCCCACUAUUUACUUCAUAAGAACAUCUCAGCCAGGCAUGAGGGUAUUCACAAACACUCUGGGGGCUAAGGCAGGACAUUGUCAAGAAUUCGAGGCCAGCCUGGCCUAUAACCUACUGAGUACCAGGCCAGGCUGGACUGCAGAGUGGGACCAUCUCAAAGAACCAAACAACCAUUUCAGGAAGCCAUAGUGUGCUGACUAAUUAUUUUAUUUAAUAUUUAAUUAUUCUGAGAGGAGGGAACCCCAACUAAGAAAAUGCUCAGAUAAGACUGGGCUGUCGGCAAGCCUGUAGAGUAUUUUCUUAAUUACCGAUUGAUAGUGGAAAGGCCUAUCCCACUGUGGGAGGUGCCACCUCCGGGUGGGUGGUCCUGGGUUCUAUAAAAAAGUAGGCUGAGCGAGCCCUGAGGAGCAAGCCAGUAAGCAGCACCUUCCAUCUUCCAUGGCAUCAGCUCUGCAUCAGCUCCUGCCUCCAGCUUCCUGCCCUGCUUGAGUUCCUGUUCUGACUUCUUCCAGUGAUGAACAGUGAUGUGGAAAAGUGAGCCAAAUAAACUGUUUCCU